UCCCAUGUGGUCUAGUGGCUAGGAUACCUGGCUUUCGCCCAGGAGGCCCGGGGUUCGAUUCCCGGCAUGGGAA
Molecule: non-coding RNA, 73 nt
Organism: Penaeus indicus
Lineage: Eukaryota; Metazoa; Arthropoda; Malacostraca; Decapoda; Penaeidae
Source: the annotation of a RefSeq genome assembly